UGAAGUGUGUGUUUGUGUUUGUA
This 23-nucleotide unclassified non-coding RNA is filed under the name Mus musculus (house mouse). Its description in RNAcentral is "oocyte_clustered_small_RNA10943". Lineage: Eukaryota; Metazoa; Chordata; Mammalia; Rodentia; Muridae. The record is from RNAcentral.